RNAcentral lists this long non-coding RNA (2749 nucleotides) under Homo sapiens (human). RNAcentral's name for it is "HSALNT0283005". Lineage: Eukaryota; Metazoa; Chordata; Mammalia; Primates; Hominidae. The record is from RNAcentral.
UGCUUAUGAAGCUUAGUUUGGCUGGAUAUGAAAUUCUGGGUUGAAAAUUAUUUUCUUUAAGAAUGUUGAAUAUUGGCCCCAAUCUCUUAGAGAUCGACUGUUAGUCUUAUGGGCUUCCCUUUGUCGGUAACCCGACUUUUCUCUCUGGCUGCCCUUAACAUUUUUUCCUUCAUUUCAACUUUGGUGAAUCUGACAAUUAUAUGUCUUGGGGUUGCUCUUUUUGAGGAGUAUCUUUGUGGUAUUCUCUGUAUUUUCUGAAUUUGAACGUUGGCCUGUCUUAUUAGGUUGGAGAAGAUCUCCUGGAUAAUAUCCUGAAGAGUGUUUUCCAACUUGGUUCCAUUCUCCCCAUCACUUUCAGGUACAACAAUCAAAUGUAGAUUUCGUCUUUUUACAUAGUCCCAUAUUUCUUGGAUGCUUUGUUCAUUCCUUUCUAUUCUUUUUUCUCUAAUCUUGUCUUGUUGCCCUAUUUCUUUAAGUUGUUUUUCAAUCACUGAUAUCCAUUCUUCUGCUUCAUCAAUUCAGCUAUUGAUACUUGUGUAUACUUCAUGAAGUUCUUGUGCUGUGUUUUUCAGCUCCAUCAGGUCAUUUAAGUUUUUCUCUAAACUGGUUAUUCUAGUUAGCAAUUCAUCUAACCUUUUUUCAAGGUUUUUAGCUUCCUUCCAUUGGGUUAGAACAUUCUCCUUCAGCUCAGAGGAGUUUGUUAUUACCCACCUUCUGAAUCUUACUUCUGUCAAUUCGUCAAACUCAUUCUCCAUCCAGUUUUGUUCCUUUGCUGGCAAGGAGUUUUCAUCCUUUGGAGGAGGAGAGGCAUUCUGGUUUUUGGAAUUUUAAGCCUUUUUUCCCUGGGUUCUCCCAAUCUUUGUGGAUUUAUCUACCUUUAGUCUUUGAUGUUGGUGACCUUUGGAUGGGGUCUUUGAGUGGACGUGCUAUUCCUUUCUGUGUGUUAGUUUUCCUUCUAACAGUCUUGCCCCUCUGCUGCAGGUCUGCUGGAGUUUGCUGGAGGUCCACUCCCGACCCUGUUUUCCUGGGUAUCACCAACAGAAGUGCAGAACAGCAAAGAUUGCUGCCCGUUCUUUCUUCUUGAAGCUUCAUCCCAGAGGGUCACCUGCUAGAUGCCAGCCAGAUCUCUUCUGUAUGACAUAUCUGUUGGCCUCUACUGGGAGGUGUCUCCGAGUCAGGAUACAUGGGGGUCAGGGACCAACUUGAGGAGGCAGUCUGACCCUUAGCAGAGCUCGAACACUGUGCUGUAAGGUCCCCUACUCUCUUCAGAGCCAUCAACUAGAGACGUAUUAUAUGCCAUGUGCAAAUAAGAAUGUAUAUUCUGGGAAGUGGUUCCAAGAUGGCCGAAUAGGAACAGCUCCAGUCUACAGCUCCCAGUGUGAGCAACACAGAAGAUGGGUGACUUCUGCAUUUCCAACUGAGGUAUCAGGUUCAUCUCACUGGGGUUCAUCGGACAGUGGGGGUAGGACAGUGGGUGCAGACCACUGAGCAUGAGCUAAAGCAGGGCAAGGCAUUGACUCACCCAGGAAGUGCAAGGGGUCAGGGAAUUCCCUUCCCUAGCCAAGGGAAGGGGUGACAGAUGGCACCUGGAAAAUCGGGUCACUCCCACCGUACUACUGCACUUUUCCAAUGGUCUUAGCAAAUGGAACACCAAGAGAUUAUAUCCCGUGCCUGGCUUGGAGGGUCCCAUGCCCAAGGGGCCUCGCUCAUUGCUAGCACAGCAGUCUGAGAUCAAACUGCAAGGCAGCAGCGAGGCUGGGAGAGGGCCAACCACCAUGGCUGAGGCUUCAGUAGGUAAACAAAGUGGUCAGGAAGCUCGCACUGGGUGGAGCCCACCACAGCUCAAAGAGGCCUGCCUGCCUCUGUAGACUCCACCUCUGGGGGCAGGGCAUAGCCGAACAAAAGGCAGCAGAAACCUCUGCAGACUUAAAUGUUCCUGUCUGACAGCUUUGAAGAGAGUAGUGGUUCUCCCAGCACAGAGUCUGAGACCGGAGAACAAACAGACUGCCUCCUCAAGUGGGUCCCUGAUCCCCGAGUAGCCUAACUGGGAGGCACCCCCCAGUAGGGGCAGACUGACACCUCACACGGCCGGGUACCCCUCUGAGACCAAGCUUCCAGAGGAAUGAUCAGGCAGCAACAUUUGCCGUUCAGCAAUAUUUGCUGUUUCGCAGCCUCUGCUGCUGAUACCCAGGCAAACAGGGUCUGGAGUGGACCUCCAGCAAACUCCAACAGGACGUGCAGCUGAGAAUCCUGAUUGUUAGAAGGAAACCUAACAAACAGAAAGGACAUCCACACCAAAACCCCAUCUGUAUGUCACCAUCAUCAAAGAACAAAGGUAUAUAAAACCACAAAUAUGGGGAGAAAAUAGAGCAGAAAAGCUGAAAUCUAAAAAUGAGAGCACCUAUCCCCCUCCAAAGGAACACAGCUCCUGGCCAGCAAUGGAACAAAGCUGGACAGAGAAUGACUUUCAUGAAUUCAGAGAAGGAGGCUUCAGACUAUCAAAGUUCUCCAAGAUAAAGGAGGAAGUUCGAAGCAAUCGCACAGAAGCUAAAAACCUUGAAAAAAGAUUAGACUAAUGGCUAACCAGAAUAACCAGUGUAGGGAAGUCCUUAAAUGACCUGUUGGAGCUGAAAACCAUGGCAUGAGAACUAUGUGAUGAAUGCACAAGCUUCAGUAGCCAAUUCAAUCAACUGCAAGAAAGGGUAUCAGUGAUUGAAGAUCAAAUGAAUGAAAUGAAGUGAGAAGAGAA